CCAGACUCCUACGGGAGGCAGCAGUGGGGAAUAUUGCACAAUGGGCGCAAGCCUGAUGCAGCCAUGCCGCGUGUAUGAAGAAGGCCUUCGGGUUGUAAAGUACUUUCAGUCGGGAGGAAGGUGGUAAGGUUAAUAACCUUAUCAAUUGACGUUACCGACAGAAGAAGCACCGGCUAACUCCGUGCCAGCAGCCGCGGUAAUACGGAGGGUGCAAGCGUUAAUCGGAAUUACUGGGCGUAAAGCGCACGCAGGCGGUCUGUCAAGUCGGAUGUGAAAUCCCCGGGCUCAACCUGGGAACUGCAUUCGAAACUGGCAGGCUGGAGUCUUGUAGGGGGGGGUAGAAUUCCAGGUGUAGCGGUGAAAUGCGUAGAGAUCUGGAGGAAUACCGGUGGCGAAGGCGGCCCCCUGGACAAAGACUGACGCUCAGGUGCGAAAGCGUGGGGAGCAAACAGGAUUAGAUACCCCGGUAACA
RNAcentral lists this ribosomal RNA (472 nucleotides) under uncultured bacterium. RNAcentral describes it as "bacterial SSU rRNA". It matches the Rfam family "Bacterial small subunit ribosomal RNA", at positions 331 to 795 of the family's 1533-position model. The record is from RNAcentral.